RNAcentral lists this small nuclear RNA (149 nucleotides) under Myotis davidii. RNAcentral's name for it is "U2 spliceosomal RNA". It matches the Rfam family "U2 spliceosomal RNA". From Rfam's summary of the family: U2 is a small nuclear RNA (snRNA) component of the spliceosome (involved in pre-mRNA splicing). Lineage: Eukaryota; Metazoa; Chordata; Mammalia; Chiroptera; Vespertilionidae. The record is from Rfam by way of RNAcentral.
AUCGCUUCUCGGCCUUUUGGCUAAGAUCAAGUGUAGAUUGGUUUUUCUAUUUAACUUUACUUCUCUUUGUUUUAUUUUGAUGUUUUAUUUAAAAGCAAUAUAUGUUCAUAAAAAUUUCAAGCAGUACAGAAACACGUAAAGAUUCAAGU